AUUAUAUUGCUAUAUUUAUUAUCAACUGAUUAUUAAUUAUAUUAUUAAUAAUUAUUGCUAAUAUGCCAUUAAAUUGAUUUCGAUAAAAGUUAAAUACUAUAAUUUGAUAAGGAGGCAAAAAUUUCUGUGAUAAGUAGCCAUCAACUGUUUUCCAACAUGUACAUUUCCUUGCUGACAAUGAAUAGGUUAAGGCCACUGUAUACACACAAACAAAUGAACAAACAGUUGUAUGUUACUAGAAAGUUCUGUAAGGUUUUGCAGAGUUCUAGAAAUUUCCAGAAGAAUGCAGCACUGAAUCAUUUGGAAUGUUCUAGAAGUAAGUAAAUUACAAAAUAGCAAAGUUUGUGAGGAAUAGUAGACAUUUUCUAUAGUUUUGAGGGCUAAGUAAUUAAGAAAUAAUAAUUACUAUUCUGAACAAAAAAAAUAUUAAAAAUUUAUUAUAGUGUUAUCCAUAUAGAUAAGAUACAUUUUUAAUUUAUCUACAAACAAACUUUAGACUAAAUUUAAUGAAUUAAUCAGAUAAAUGGUGAAAUACUAUACAGUAUUUAAAAUAUAUCCUAUUGUGGGACCAUUGGACAUAUUCAUAUAGGAUUUUGGUUUACUUGCAAUAUAUGGCACAAUUUGGAUAAAGACAAGUAAUCAGACUUGAGUGACACAGACUAACAGAUCAAUAACAAAUAAUUUUAAUUGAGAGAGAGAUUUCUUUACAAAGAUAAAAGGAGCCUGAUGAUAAUCAUUUUGGGAAAAUAAAUAUUUUUUUCUUAAUUGAAUGUAUUCAACGAGGAAAAAGAAAUGACUUUCUGCAUUGGGUCCAAUAUUCUUUUCUUUGAAGUCCCAGGGCUGACUGUCCAUGCAUGUGUGUCCAGGGCAAACAAACUGACCUUUUUCUUCAUCUUUUUCCCAGGAAAAGACAGAAUGUUUAUCAACAAUUGUCUUUCAUUGAUGUCUUCUAAUUUAUUACAUCAGCAAGUAAUAAAAACUUUUCUUUCUGAUACCCUAUCUCUUCUUUGUUUUUAAUACUCCAAUGUUUAUUGAUUAAUUUUUUCUCUCCCUGAG
RNAcentral lists this long non-coding RNA (1056 nucleotides) under Androctonus crassicauda. The record is from RNAcentral. Lineage: Eukaryota; Metazoa; Arthropoda; Arachnida; Scorpiones; Buthidae.